Molecule: small nuclear RNA, 107 nt
Organism: Cervus hanglu yarkandensis (Yarkand deer)
Lineage: Eukaryota; Metazoa; Chordata; Mammalia; Artiodactyla; Cervidae
Source: Ensembl
GUGUUCACUUUGGCAGUACAUAUACUAAAAUUGGAAUGAUACAGAGAAGAUUUGCAUAGCCCCUGUGCAAUGAUGACACGCACAUUCGUGAAGCAUUCCAUAUUUUU